AAUAGGUCAAAUAAAUCAAAAUAAUUAAAUUAAUAAUCAUAUUCACCUUUAAAUUAUAGAGAACGUAAAUUAAUAAUUAACAAAAUAUAAAAUGAAAUAUUCUCACAAAGGUUUUGAAAAGCCUCUAGAUGACCCAGAUAUCAAAAUAAAAAAUAAGUAUAGAUGAGCCAACUCAUCUUAACGAGCUUAGUUUCCUAAACACAAUCAAAACUGGAAUGAUAAAAUUGCAAAAUAAAGAGAAGAAAAUUAAAUCUAAGAAAACAGAG
RNAcentral lists this unclassified non-coding RNA (266 nucleotides) under Hevea brasiliensis (rubber tree). Lineage: Eukaryota; Viridiplantae; Streptophyta; Magnoliopsida; Malpighiales; Euphorbiaceae. The record is from RNAcentral.